CGGAUACGGGUUGUGAGAGCAAUAACCCGGAGAUGAUAUCUGAGACACGAUAUCAGGCCCUACGGGGCGCAGCAGGCGCGAAAACUUCACAAUGCGCGAAAGCGCGAUGAGGGGAUCCCAAGUGCUUGCACGUAAGUGUAAGCUGUUUUUCUGUCUAAAAAGCAGAGAGAGUAAGGGCUGGGUAAGACGGGUGCCAGCCGCCGCGGUAAUACCUGCAGCUCAAGUGGUGGCCGCUAUUAUUGGGCCUAAAACGUCCGUAGCCGGCUGAGUAAAUGCCUGGGUAAAUCGUGCCGCUUAACGGUACGAAUUCCGGGUAGACUGCUUAGCUUGGGACCGGAAGAAGUUAGAGGUACUCCUGGGGUAGGGGUGAAAUCCUGUAAUCCUGGGGGGACCACCAGUGGCGAAGGCGUCUAACUAGGACGGGUCUGACGGUGAGGGACGAAGCCCUGGGGCGCAAACCGGAUUAGAUACCCGGGUAGUCCAGGGUGUAAACGCUGCUUGCUUGAUGUUAGCUGGGCUCCGAGCUCAGCUAGUGUCGGAGAGAAGUUGUUAAGCAAGCUGCCUGGGAAGUACGGUCGCAAGACUGAAACU
RNAcentral lists this ribosomal RNA (591 nucleotides) under uncultured archaeon. RNAcentral's name for it is "bacterial SSU rRNA". It matches the Rfam family "Archaeal small subunit ribosomal RNA", at positions 264 to 856 of the family's 1478-position model. The record is from RNAcentral.